This 814-nucleotide ribosomal RNA is filed under the name uncultured bacterium. RNAcentral's name for it is "bacterial SSU rRNA". It matches the Rfam family "Bacterial small subunit ribosomal RNA", at positions 73 to 861 of the family's 1533-position model. The record is from RNAcentral.
GAAGCAGCUUCUCUUCCUGACGAGUGGCGGACGGGUGAGUAAUGUCUGGGAAACUGCCUGAUGGAGGGGGAUAACUACUGGAAACGGUAGCUAAUACCGCAUAACGUCGCAAGACCAAAGAGGGGGACCUUCGGGCCUCUUGCCAUCGGAUGUGCCCAGAUGGGAUUAGCUAGUAGGUGGGGUAACGGCUCACCUAGGCGACGAUCCCUAGCUGGUCUGAGAGGAUGACCAGCCACACUGGAACUGAGACACGGUCCAGACUCCUACGGGAGGCAGCAGUGGGGAAUAUUGCACAAUGGGCGCAAGCCUGAUGCAGCCAUGCCGCGUGUAUGAAGAAGGCCUUCGGGUUGUAAAGUACUUUCAGCGGGGAGGAAGGUGAUAAGGUUAAUAACCUUGUCGAUUGACGUUACCCGCAGAAGAAGCACCGGCUAACUCCGUGCCAGCAGCCGCGGUAAUACGGAGGGUGCAAGCGUUAAUCGGAAUUACUGGGCGUAAAGCGCACGCAGGCGGUCUGUCAAGUCGGAUGUGAAAUCCCCGGGCUCAACCUGGGAACUGCAUUCGAAACUGGCAGGCUAGAGUCUUGUAGAGGGGGGUAGAAUUCCAGGUGUAGCGGUGAAAUGCGUAGAGAUCUGGAGGAAUACCGGUGGCGGAAAGGCGGCCCCCUGGACAAAAACUGACGCUCAGGGUGCGAAAGCGUGGGGAGCCAAACGGGAUUAGAUACCCUGGUAGUGCCACGCCCUAAAACCGAUGGUCCACUUGGGAAGGUUUGUGCCCCCUUUGAAGGCUGGGCCUUUCCGGAAGCCUAAACGGCGUU